GACGAACGUUGGCGGCGUGCUUAAUACAUGCGAGUCCACUGAAGCAGUGGUAGCAAUAUCGCUGUGGAGGUGGCGCACGGGUGAGUAACACGUAGGUAAUCUGCCUUCAGGUCUGGCAUAACUCCGGGAAACCGGGGCUAAUAGCAGAUGAUGCAGCGGCUCGACAUCGAGACAGUUGUUAAAGCUAUGGCGCCUGAAGAUGAGCCUGCGUCUGAUUAGCUAGUUGGCGGGGUAACGGCCCACCAAGGCAACGAUCAGUAGCUGGUCUGAGAGGAUGAUCAGCCACACUGGAGCUGAGACACGGUCCAGACUCCUACGGGAGGCAGCAGUAAGGAAUAUUGCUCAAUGGGAGAAAUCCUGAAGCAGCAACGCCGCGUGAGGGACGAAGGGCUUUUGCUUGUAAACCUCUGUAGUGAGAGAAAAAAAUCCCAAUCUUUGGGACAUGAUGGUAUCUCAAAAGUAAGCCCCGGCUAACUACGUG
This 481-nucleotide ribosomal RNA is filed under the name uncultured bacterium. RNAcentral describes it as "partial 16S ribosomal RNA". It matches the Rfam family "Bacterial small subunit ribosomal RNA", at positions 28 to 507 of the family's 1533-position model. The record is from RNAcentral.